CUUUUCUCUCCUUGCUGCAAUGAGAAGACACAGCAAGAAGACUUCUGUCUGCAAGCAAGGAAGAAGGCUCUCACCAGGAACCGAAUUGGUUAACACCUUUAUCUUGGACUUCCCAGCCUUUAGAACUAAAGACAACUGAAUAAAUUUGGUAGCAGAAUAGGAAGGAACAAAUACAUGAGCAUACUCGGAAUGAGAGAAGACAGCAGCAGCGAGAUUUAAGUGAGUACAUAGUUGGAGUUUACCAAGGAGAGCAGAGGGUCUGGGAAAGACUAAAAUGCCAGUCACCAAAUCCAGUUGUCUCAGUUACAACAAAUCCCCAAGAAGGUCUAAU
RNAcentral lists this long non-coding RNA (331 nucleotides) under Equus asinus (donkey). RNAcentral's name for it is "lncRNA (ENSEASG00005037299.1)". Lineage: Eukaryota; Metazoa; Chordata; Mammalia; Perissodactyla; Equidae. The record is from RNAcentral.